RNAcentral lists this ribosomal RNA (296 nucleotides) under uncultured bacterium. RNAcentral's name for it is "partial 16S ribosomal RNA". It matches the Rfam family "Bacterial small subunit ribosomal RNA", at positions 30 to 326 of the family's 1533-position model. The record is from RNAcentral.
AUUGAACGCUGGCGGCAUGCCUUACACAUGCAAGUCGAACGGCAGCACGGGAGCAAUCCUGGUGGCGAGUGGCGAACGGGUGAGUAAUAUAUCGGAACGUGCCCAGUCGUGGGGAUAACGUAGCGAAAGCUACGCUAAUACCGCAUACGAUCUAUGGAUGAAAGCGGGGGAUCGCAAGACCUCGCGCCGAUUGGAGCGGCCGAUAUCAGAUUAGGUAGUUGGUGAGGUAAAGGCUCACCAAGCCGACGAUCUGUAGCUGGUCUGAGAGGACGACCAGCCACACUGGGACUGAGACA